Molecule: ribosomal RNA, 253 nt
Filed under: uncultured bacterium
Lineage: Bacteria
Description: partial 16S ribosomal RNA
Rfam family: Bacterial small subunit ribosomal RNA
Source: RNAcentral
UACAGAGGGGGCAAGCGUUAUUCGGAAUUAUUGGGCGUAAAGGGCGCGUAGGCGGCUUGGCAAGUGGGUGGUGAAAUCCCUCGGCUUAACCGAGGAACUGCCGUCCAAACUGCUUCGCUUGAGACCGGGAGAGGUGAGUGGAAUUCCCAGUGUAGCGGUGAAAUGCGUAGAUAUUGGGAGGAACACCAGUGGCGAAGGCGGCUCACUGGACCGGUACUGACGCUGAUGCGCGAAAGCGUGGGGAGCAAACGGG